UCCUGGCUCAGGAUGAACGCUGGCGGCGUGCCUAACACAUGCAAGUCGAACGAAGCACUCCGGUUGAGAUUCGUCAAGAACUGGAUUUGACUUAGUGGCGGACGGGUGAGUAAUGUAUGAGCAACCUGCCUUUCAGAGGGGGACAACAGUUGGAAACGACUGCUAAUACCGCAUAAUGUAUAUUAGGGGGCAUCCCUGGUAUACCAAAGGAGCAAUCCGCUGAAAGAUGGGCUCAUAUCUGAUUAGUUAGUUGGCAGGGUAACGGCCUACCAAGACUUCGAUCAGUAGCCGGACUGAGAGGUUGAACGGCCACAUUGGGACUGAGAUACGGCCCAGACUCCUACGGGAGGCAGCAGUGGGGAAUAUUGGGCAAUGGGCGAAAGCCUCGACCCAGCAACGCCGCGUGAAGGAAGAAGGUCUUCGGAUUGUAAACUUCUUUUAUGAGGGACGAAGGACGUGACGGUACCUCAUGAAUAAGCCACGGCUAACUACGUGCCAGCCGCAGC
Molecule: ribosomal RNA, 506 nt
Filed under: uncultured bacterium
Lineage: Bacteria
Description: bacterial SSU rRNA
Rfam family: Bacterial small subunit ribosomal RNA
Source: RNAcentral